RNAcentral lists this ribosomal RNA (478 nucleotides) under uncultured bacterium. Its description in RNAcentral is "partial 16S ribosomal RNA". It matches the Rfam family "Bacterial small subunit ribosomal RNA", at positions 28 to 523 of the family's 1533-position model. The record is from RNAcentral.
GACGAACGCUGUCGGCGUGCUUAACACAUGCAAGUCGAACGGUAAGGCCCUUCGGGGUACACGAGUGGCGAACGGGUGAGUAACACGUGGGUGAUCUGCCCUGCACUUCGGGAUAAGCCUGGGUAACUGUGUCUAAUACCGGAUAGGACCACUGCCUGCAUGGGUGGUUGUGGAAAGCUUUUGCGGUGUGGGAUGGGCCCGCGGCCUAUCUGCGUGUUGGUGGGGUGAUGGUCUAGCAAGGCGACGGCGGGUAGCCGGCCUGAGAGGGGGACCGGCCACAGUGGGACUGAGAUACGGCCCAGACUCCGACGGGAGGCAGCAGUGGGGAAUAUUGCACAAUGGGCGCAAGCCUGGUGUAGCGACGCCGCGUGAGGGAUGACGGCCUUCGGGUUGUAACCCUCUUUCAGCACCGACGAAGCGCAAGUGACGGUAGGUGCAGAAGAAGUACCGGCCAACUACGUGCCAGCCGCCGCCGUAA